RNAcentral lists this ribosomal RNA (528 nucleotides) under uncultured bacterium. RNAcentral describes it as "bacterial SSU rRNA". It matches the Rfam family "Bacterial small subunit ribosomal RNA", at positions 777 to 1304 of the family's 1533-position model. The record is from RNAcentral.
AAUAGAUACCCCGGUAGUCCACGCCGUAAACGAUAAGUGCUAGGUGUUAGGGGGUUUCCGCCCCUUAGUGCUGCAGCUAACGCAUUAAGCACUCCGCCUGGGGAGUACGGUCGCAAGACUGAAACUCAAAGGAAUUGACGGGGGCCCGCACAAGCGGUGGAGCAUGUGGUUUAAUUCGAAGCAACGCGAAGAACCUUACCAGGUCUUGACAUCCCGCUGACCGCCAUGGAGACAUGGCUUUCCCUUCGGGGACAGCGGUGACAGGUGGUGCAUGGUUGUCGUCAGCUCGUGUCGUGAGAUGUUGGGUUAAGUCCCGCAACGAGCGCAACCCUUGUCCUUAGUUGCCAUCAUUCAGUUGGGCACUCUAAGGAGGCUGCCGUACAAAUACGGAGGAAGGUGGGGAUGACGUCAAAUCAUCAUGCCCCUUAUGACCUGGGCUACACACGUGCUACAAUGGGUGGUACAAAGGGCAGCAAACCCGCGAGGGGGAGCGAAUCCCAAAAAGCCACUCUCAGUUCGGAUUGCAGG